AACAAACGCUGGCGGCGUGCCUACCACAUGCAAGUCGAACGGGGAAAGCUUUCUUGUGCGUGCUAGUGGCGCACGGGUGAGGAACGCGUGGCUAAACUGCCCUAGCGUGGGGGAUAACUUGUCGUAAGAUUAGCUAAUAUAGCAUAAGACCACGAGAGCUGCGGCUUUUGGGGGCAAGGACUGUUCGCUCUAAGAUGAGUCCGCGUAAGAUUAGCUAGUUGGUGAGGUAAGGGCUCACCAAGGCGACGAUCUUUAACUGGUCUGAGAGGAUGAUCAGUCACACUGGAUCUGAGACGCGGUAGAGACUCAUACGGGAGAGAGGAGGAGAGAAUAUUGCACAAUGGAGGAAACUCUGAUGGAGCGACGCCGCGUGAGUGAAGAAGGCCUUCGGGUCGUAAAGCUCUGUCGUAGGAGAAUAACACAAUGAAGGUACCCUGUAAAAAAGGACCGGCUAACUUCGUG
This 462-nucleotide ribosomal RNA is filed under the name uncultured bacterium. RNAcentral describes it as "partial 16S ribosomal RNA". It matches the Rfam family "Bacterial small subunit ribosomal RNA", at positions 29 to 507 of the family's 1533-position model. The record is from RNAcentral.